RNAcentral lists this ribosomal RNA (470 nucleotides) under uncultured bacterium. RNAcentral describes it as "partial 16S ribosomal RNA". It matches the Rfam family "Bacterial small subunit ribosomal RNA", at positions 28 to 507 of the family's 1533-position model. The record is from RNAcentral.
GACGAACGCUGGCGGCGUGCUUAACACAUGCAAGUCGAACGCUGAAGCACCAGCUUGCUGGUGUGGAUGAGUGGCGAACGGGUGAGUAAUACGUGAGUAACCUGCCCUUGACUCUGGGAUAAGCCCGGGAAACUGGGUCUAAUACUGGAUGCUACAUGUCACCGCAUGGUGGUGUGUGGAAAGGGUUUACUGGUCUUGGAUGGGCUCACGGCCUAUCAGCUUGUUGGUGAGGUAAUGGCUCACCAAGGCGACGACGGGUAGCCGGCCUGAGAGGGUGACCGGCCACACUGGGACUGAGACACGGCCCAGACUCCUACGGGAGGCAGCAGUGGGGAAUAUUGCACAAUGGGCGAAAGCCUGAUGCAGCGACGCCGCGUGAGGGAUGACGGCCUUCGGGUUGUAAACCUCUUUCAGCAGGGAAGAAGCCAGAAGUGACGGUACCUGCAGAAGAAGCGCCGGCUAACUACGUG